CUACGGGAGGCAGCAGUGGGGAAUCUUGCGCAAUGGGCGAAAGCUUGACGCAGCAACGCCGCGUGAGUGAUGAAGGCCUUCGGGUCGUAAAGCUCUGUCGGGAGGAACGAAUACCCGCCGGGAACAAUACCCCUGCGGUUUGACGGUACCUCCAAAGGAAGCACCGGCUAACUCCGUGCCAGCAGCCGCGGUAAUACGGAGGGUGCAAGCGUUGUUCGGAAUUACUGGGCGUAAAGCGCGUGUAGGCGGACCUAGAAGUCGGGUGUGAAAGCCCUGGGCUCAACUCAGGAAGUGCGCCCGAAACCAUAGGUCUUGAGGUCCGGAGGGGAUCGGGGAAUUCCUGGUGUAGAGGUGAAAUUCGUAGAUAUCAGGAGGAACACCGGCGGCGAAGGCGCCGAUCUGGACGGAUUCUGACGCUGAGACGCGAAAGCGUGGGUAGCAAACAGGAUUAGAUACCCUGGUAGUCCACGCCGUAAACGAUGUGCACUAGGUGUCGGGGGUAUUGACCCCCCCGGUGCCGACGCUAACGCAUUAAGUGCACCGCCUGGGAAGUACGGCCGCAAGGUUGAAACUCAAAGGAAUUGACGG
This 588-nucleotide ribosomal RNA is filed under the name uncultured bacterium. RNAcentral's name for it is "bacterial SSU rRNA". It matches the Rfam family "Bacterial small subunit ribosomal RNA", at positions 339 to 916 of the family's 1533-position model. The record is from RNAcentral.